RNAcentral lists this ribosomal RNA (626 nucleotides) under Enterococcus faecalis. RNAcentral's name for it is "bacterial SSU rRNA". It matches the Rfam family "Bacterial small subunit ribosomal RNA", at positions 769 to 1395 of the family's 1533-position model. The record is from RNAcentral. Lineage: Bacteria; Bacillati; Bacillota; Bacilli; Lactobacillales; Enterococcaceae.
CAAACAGGAUUAGAUACCCUGGUAGUCCACGCCGUAAACGAUGAGUGCUAAGUGUUAGAGGGUUUCCGCCCUUCAGUGCUGCAGCAAACGCAUUAAGCACUCCGCCUGGGGAGUACGACCGCAAGGCUGAAACUCAAAGGAAUUGACGGGGGCCCGCACAAGCGGUGGAGCAUGUGGUUUAAUUCGAAGCAACGCGAAGAACCUUACCAGGUCUUGACAUCCUUUGAACACUCUAGAGAUAGAGCUUUCCCUUCGGGGGCAAAGUGACAGGUGGUGCAUGGUUGUCGUCAGCUCGUGUCGUGAGAUGUUGGGUUAAGUCCCGCAACGAGCGCAACCCUUGAUGUUAGUUGCCAUCAUUAAGUUGGGCACUCUAAGGAGACUGCCGGUGACAAACCGGAGGAAGGUGGGGAUGACGUCAAAUCAUCAUGCCCCUUAUGACCUGGGCUACACACGUGCUACAAUGGGAAGUACAAAGAGUCGCAAGACCGCGAGGUCAAGCUAAUCUCAUAAAGCUUUUCUCAGUUCGGAUUGCAGGCUGCAACUCGCCUGCAUGAAGCCGGAAUCGCUAGUAAUCGCGGAUCAGCACGCCGCGGUGAAUACGUUCCCGGGCCUUGUACACACCGCCC